GAGUUUGAUCAUGGCUCAGGAUGAACGCUAGCGGCAGGCUUAAUACAUGCAAGUCGUGGGGCAGCAUGAGUAGCAAUACUUGAUGGCGACCGGCAAACGGGUGCGGAACACGUACACAACCUUCCGAUAAGUGGGGAAUAGCCCAGAGAAAUUUGGAUUAAUACCCCGUAACAUAUAGAGUAGGCAUCUUCUUUAUAUUAUAGCUUCGGCGCUUAUUGAUGGGUGUGCGUCUGAUUAGGUAGUUGGCGGGGUAACGGCCCACCAAGCCUACGAUCAGUAGCUGAUGUGAGAGCAUGAUCAGCCACACGGGCACUGAGACACGGGCCCGACUCCUACGGGAGGCAGCAGUAAGGAAUAUUGGACAAUGGGCGAAAGCCUGAUCCAGCCAUGCCGCGUGAAGGAUUAAGGUCCUCUGGAUUGUAAACUUCUUUUAUUUGGGACGAAAAAAGGGAAUUCUUUCCCACUUGACGGUACCAAGUGAAUAAGCACCGGCUAACUCCGUGCCAGCAGCCGCGGUA
This 518-nucleotide ribosomal RNA is filed under the name uncultured bacterium. RNAcentral describes it as "bacterial SSU rRNA". It matches the Rfam family "Bacterial small subunit ribosomal RNA", at positions 9 to 522 of the family's 1533-position model. The record is from RNAcentral.